GAAUCAUGAGGAUACCAUCUCCAAGCAGGUGGAGUAUUUGAUCCCUUUAGCAAGGCAGUGAUUUUGAAAUUCGGGUUUAGACAAAAAGAUAUUUCAAGCUCCUGAAGAACAAGUUUGAAGGAUUCAGAGCAGAGAAUUGCACCCUGGCAUGAUGCCUAUGCCAGCUGGACUGUGUGAUUUUUGUUCUUUAGUAGAAGGAUAACAUGACAUAGCAGGAAUAAUACUGCCUUUUCUUUCUGGCAUGGAUCAAGAGAAAAGAAAAUACAAGAAAACAGACAGAAGGCUUCUGACAGCUUUGGAGAUUGUGACAUUGGAAUAAAGGAAAAACGUACAGGACUCAUGAAGCGCUGAAAUGUUCACAAAUAUCAAGCAAAAGUCAAUGAAAUUUAUUUUGAGCUAUUUACAUCAUUUAAUAAUUGAGCAAGGUAUACUCCUAUGAACAAAAUUUGGAGCAUGUUUGUCUCUCUCUGCCUGGCGUCUUCAGAAUUUGGAAACUAGUUAUGGUUUAUAAUCAGCUAUAGAAUUUUAACACGUGCUCUCAAAUGCAAGUUUCUGAUAACUUUGGAGAUUGUGACAUUGGAAUAAAGGAAGAGCUGGAAUGUUCAUGAAUAUCAAGCAAAAGUCAUGGAAAUUUAUUUUGAGCUAUUUACAGCAUUUAAUAAUUGAGCAAGGUAUACUCCUAUGAACAAAAUUUGGAGCAUGUUUGUCUCUCUCUGUCUGCCUGGCAUCUACAGAAUUUGGAAACUAGUUUCGUUCCCAGAUUUCCUAAACUUUCCAGAGAAAAUGGUCUUCUCCCUGGCUCAGCAAGAAGAUGAACUUUAAACACUGAGAAACUGGUCAUCUCCCUGGCUCAACCAGAAGAUGAACUUUAAACACUACUCUCAAUGACUUGAUGUUCCCAUCACUACUCCUGUCAUAAAGGGAGGGGACUCAGAUAUUGAGAAUUUUAUGAUAGUGUGAACUGUCUGGUAUGUCAUUUAAGUAAGCCCGUUGCUGAAAUAUUUUCCAUGUUAUUAGAAAGAGCUGAAGAGAGGGAUUGAGAUGGCUUCUUUAUUUUUUGUCUUUUGGGAAUUAAAGGAACCUGGUUCAACAAGGGCCUACACCUAAGUCUCUUGUUGUACCAGAGUACAAUUUAGGACUGCUCCUGAGGAAGGAAUUAGCUAGAAAUCUAGAGAGUAAGGGUAACAGAUUUACAUAGAAUAACAGCCUCAGUAUUUUUGGUUCCUCUCCAGUAAAGAUCACAAAGAAUAUUGCUAAAUCGCUAAAACACCUUUGCAAUAACGUAAGGGCUUACAACUAUAUACCAAUGUAGCUCAGUUACUAAACUGGAGUAAACUAAUUUCUCUUGUGUAGAAAAAUUGGUUGGCUGUGGUUUUAUAGCAGAUCUGCAAUUAUUAAUAGUUAUGCCAAUAAUCGUUUAACAGUGCAUAUGUUAAUAUAUAUGGAAAGACAAUGUGUAUAGACAGAUGUGUAAAAUUGAAAAAUAAACAUAUAACAAGAGAGAAACAUCUAUCGAACAGACAAUAUACAUACACAUCAAACACAACAGCAGUUUUAGUGACCAUAAUAUUUAUUUCUCAUUUUUACAUUGCUUACUUUAGUGACAACUGAAAAUGACAGUUGGCAAUGCAGCUAACAGUUUCAAUAAAAGUAUAAAACAAAAGACUGUGUACAAAGCACCUGUCUUUCCGCUUUUGUAAUCUUCCGUUGGAAAAAAUUUACACACCUAAGUAACCAUCUGUUUUCUUCAAGAAAAAAUCAUUCUUAUUUCUCUCUCUCAUCUUGAAAACAGCUGUCAGCCAGGAGGGCAGAGCUGAAAUUUAUUGCCACAUCACAUGAAGCAUAGAACAGACUCCACUACUCCUUGAGAUUCAAAACUUUGCCUCUCACAAAGUUACCUUUUAUUUUCCUCUUGUUUGUCACUCAUCUCCCCUAGUGUGCUCUUUUUAUUUCUUUUACUAUUAAUAAUAAAA
RNAcentral lists this long non-coding RNA (1973 nucleotides) under Homo sapiens (human). RNAcentral describes it as "long intergenic non-protein coding RNA 320". The record is from RNAcentral. Lineage: Eukaryota; Metazoa; Chordata; Mammalia; Primates; Hominidae.